CUCCGCCCUCUCCCUGCGCGGAAGAGAGGAGCGGGGAGUGAGAGGCCGAGGAGGCGGUGCCGUUUAUAUGGAGACUAGGCUAGGAGCCUGGGAGGAAGAGGAGGAGGAAAGGACCACCCGGCACGUCCUCGUGGUGGUUGCCUCCACUCCUCCAGCCCUUAGCCCAGGGCUGAUGUCAUCUGCAGCAAAUCAUUUCGCCGGCGGCCCGGAAGCUGGAAGGACGAGCUCUCUACAGAUAUGUGAAGCUUGACCUCAUUUUCGAAACUCCUGCACAGGAAGCCACAGUGUGAUUCGUCUGCCGUUCAUUCGCUCUUCCCCAUCUGCAGACCUUCAGCAGAUCUCUGCGUUCUUCAAACUGAUGUGGCAAUGGCCGUGUGUCUAUGUGUGUUCAGCUCUCUGGGCACAGACGGCUGGAGUAGAGCAGAUAGGCUACGUGUGUUACUUUAUUUUAACAUGAGCUGCCUCCUCCUGUCAAGAGACCUCAAGGGAAGUCAACUGCUGAGUUCCUGCCACAUCACCACCUCUUCUUCCAAACUCCCAGGGUUUUCCUCGUAACAGAUAAAUAUUCUUAUAAAAAAAAAUCAAGUUUUUAUUUGCCCCCACCCAUUAAUCUUUUAAAUCACAUUUCUUCUGUUUUAUCAAUUAAGCAUGUGCUCUUAAAUCAAUCUCUCUCUCUCU
Molecule: long non-coding RNA, 678 nt
Filed under: Mus musculus (house mouse)
Lineage: Eukaryota; Metazoa; Chordata; Mammalia; Rodentia; Muridae
Description: predicted gene, 26559, transcript variant 2 (Gm26559)
Source: RNAcentral